RNAcentral lists this unclassified non-coding RNA (2107 nucleotides) under Hevea brasiliensis (rubber tree). Lineage: Eukaryota; Viridiplantae; Streptophyta; Magnoliopsida; Malpighiales; Euphorbiaceae. The record is from RNAcentral.
GUGAUGGCUUCAGAUUUUUUGUCAAUUUGGGUGGAGUCCAACAGUUUCUGGGUUCUUCUCAGAUAGCGAUAUUUUCAUUUGUUAUUUGGCUUUAUUCAAACUCAUCACUGUAUUACAAAUCAGCUUCUGAUUCUAGAGUUUAUGCUUUGUGGGUUCUCCUUUAAUUGAUGUUGAUUGGUUUCCUUUAUGUGACCCUCAAACCCGUUACAUCCGGUUAAUUGGCUUAAAAUCUGAGCGGCUUUAAAAUCCUUAUUGUUUUUUUGUUUUUCUUUUCAAGUGACGAACCUGUCUAUUCUUUCCUGGUAGAUAAGGUGCUACUUUUCUUGGUAUCUCAAUAAGGAUUUCUUUCUGGUCUAUAAGUAUUUGCUGAUUUUGUAGUGAGUGUUAAGUGAGCAAAGAAUAUUGUUUUUUCAGUAAGGAUAAAGGAGAGAUGAUGGAAGAGAAGGAGAAAAAGUUCCUCACAGUAGCACCAUUCCAGUGUGCUUGGAGAAAGGAUUUGAAAUUCCGGGAAGCAGGGAGAGGUUGUGUGGCGUUUGAUGCUUUUGCUCAUAAUGAUGUCACUUUAGUGUUUAGGGAGAAUGUGGGGAGCCAGCACUACCAUUACAAGAGGGAUAAUAGUCCUCAUUAUACUGUGAUUCUUGGGAGUCAUAGGAAUAGAAGAUUGAAAAUUGAGGUUGAUGGGAAAACUGAGGUUGAUGUGGAAGGUAUCGGUCUAUGCUGCUCUUCUGCUUUUCAAAGUUACUGGAUCUGUAUUUAUGAUGGGUUGAUUAGUAUUGGCAAGGGAAGAUACCCUUUUCAGAAUCUUGUAUUUCAGUGGCUAGAUUCAAAUCCAAAUUGCAGUGUUCGUUAUGUUGGGCUCAGUAGCUGGGAUAAACAUGUUGGCUAUAGAAAUGUCAAUGUGUUGUCAUUGCCUCAGAAUCAUAUGUUACUGUGGAAGCAAGUUGAUUCUGGAGAAUAUGAGGGAAAGGAGGACAGUGAAGAGGAGUUGGAAGAUGAACAAAUUGAAUAUGAUAAAUGGGGGCUUGAUAAUUUCCUAGAGAGUUGGGAAUUAUCGGAUAUGUUCUUUGUUGUUGGUGAAGAAGAAAGGCCUGUCCCAGCUCAUAAGGUUAUCUUGCAAGCAUCUGGUAAUUUUCCUUUGAGUCCGUCAAAUGAAAAUGUCCUUCAGCUGAAGGAUUUAACUUAUCCAACUCUCCAUGCACUUCUUCAAUUUAUCUAUACAGGCCACACCCAGAUUUCAGAAUCACAACUUGGUUCAUUGUGGGCUUUGAGCCGACAAUUCGAAGUCAUGCCAUUGGCAAAGCAAUGUGAAGAAACCGUGGAACGGUUUCAACUGAAUAAGAAGUUGUUUGAUUCUGGUAGGAAUGUGGAAUUAUCAUAUCCAAACUCUUGGCCCCACUGUUCUGCCACCUUCCCCUUCGGACUCCCCAUCAAUGUGCUAAAGCUCAAAAAAUUGCAUUCAGCUGCACAGUACAGUGAUGUAAACAUUUAUAUCGAAGGCCAUGGUCUUGUUGCCCAGCCUCAUAGAGUCAUUCUAAGUUUAUGGAGUAUCCCGUUUGCAAAGAUGUUUACAAAUGGAAUGAGGGAGAGUAGUUCCUUGGAGGUCUCUUUAAGUGAUGUCUCACCAGAAGCAUUCAAGAUUAUGCUUGACUUCAUGUACAGUGGGGAAAUCAGUUUAGAAGGUACCAGGGAUUUUGGAAUUUUGAUGAGGAGCAAGGGAGUUGAGGAGUUGCGUGGGGGGAAGAUGGUGGAUGAGUUACUGGCAAAUUCAACUCUUGACCUUAUUUUUCAAGAGAGGUUUCACUCUCUUAAUAACUUAUUGUCAUUUGUGAGAUUUCCAUUGCUAUCAUAUCAAUUGCUGAAGAAGUUGGGCCAGAGCAAACUUUGCAAGCACAUUCACAUAAGAGCUGGCCAAAUUGUGUUGGGAUUUUUUUAGCAUCCAUAAUGUUGUUUUGUUACUUUCCAUUAAUCGUUUUGAGGACAGGAACAAUCUCAAGAAGUGGGGAAUAUUAUGAUAAUAAGGAGAAUAAGAGUUGUGAGGAUGUAUAGGAGAAUAUAUUGUAUAUAUAGGAAUGGUACUGUAACUGAUUUCAAUCAAUCAAGAAUUCAA